UUGCCUCAGUAACGGCGAGUGAAGCGGCAAAAGCUCAAAUUUUAAAUCUGGCGUCUUUGGGCGUCCGAGUUGUAAUUUGGAGAGGCAUCUUCGGUUUGGGCUCCAGUCUAACGCCCUUGGAACAGGGGGUCACAGAGGGUGAGAAUCCCGUGUCCGGCUGGCAGCUUCUUUCCAUGUGAAGUGUCUUCUACGAGUCGAGUUGUUUG
This 206-nucleotide ribosomal RNA is filed under the name uncultured fungus. RNAcentral's name for it is "partial 28S ribosomal RNA". It matches the Rfam family "Eukaryotic large subunit ribosomal RNA", at positions 75 to 276 of the family's 3401-position model. Lineage: Eukaryota; Fungi. The record is from RNAcentral.